GUAAGGAAUAUUGGACAAUGGACGCAAGUCUGAUCCAGCCAUGCCGCGUGAAGGAUUAAGGUCCUCUGGAUUGUAAACUUCUUUUAUAAGGGACGAAAAAAGGCUUUUCUAAGUCGUCUGACGGUACCUUAUGAAUAAGCACCGGCUAACUCCGUGCCAGCAGCCGCGGUAAUACGGAGGGUGCAAGCGUUAUCCGGAUUCACUGGGUUUAAAGGGUGCGUAGGCGGGCAGGUAAGUCAGUGGUGAAAUCCUAGAGCUUAACUCUAGAACUGCCAUUGAUACUAUCUGUCUUGAAUAUUGUGGAGGUAAGCGGAAUAUGUCAUGUAGCGGUGAAAUGAUUAGAUAUGACAUAGAACACCUAUUGCGAAGGCAGCUUACUACGCAUAUAUUGACGCUGAGGCACGAAAGCGUGGGGAUCAAACAGGAUUAGAUACCCCGGUAGUCC
This 445-nucleotide ribosomal RNA is filed under the name uncultured bacterium. RNAcentral describes it as "bacterial SSU rRNA". It matches the Rfam family "Bacterial small subunit ribosomal RNA", at positions 354 to 796 of the family's 1533-position model. The record is from RNAcentral.